RNAcentral lists this long non-coding RNA (255 nucleotides) under Brassica napus (rape). Its description in RNAcentral is "long non-coding RNA (BNAP_LNC022710)". The record is from RNAcentral. Lineage: Eukaryota; Viridiplantae; Streptophyta; Magnoliopsida; Brassicales; Brassicaceae.
UCCUCGAUUACUCGCAGUUUAGACCAGUGAGGUUUUCAAACUCUAACAGUGAAAACCUCACAGGUUGUGGACCAACGAGACUCCACAGCUCAUACUUUUUCUUUAUGUCCAGCUAGAAACCGAGCAUGUAGUGAACCAGCUUUGAAGCCCAAACAAAUCCUAGCUCUUGGAACUUGAUGAAAACUCCCAACUUCGACUAUUUCAGCUCUUCAUAUUCGUCAUCAUGAAGAGGUUUCUUUAAAGCAGCAUGCAACG